Small nucleolar RNA from Dasypus novemcinctus (nine-banded armadillo), 78 nucleotides. Ensembl annotates it as small nucleolar RNA, C/D box 112. The record is from Ensembl. NCBI's taxonomy places the organism in Eukaryota, Metazoa, Chordata, Mammalia, Cingulata, Dasypodidae.
GUGAAAUAGGAAGAGAAAGUGUUGAUGAACAAAGGAUCGUGAUUAAUCCAGUUCUGCACAGAAAUACGGAGGUCCAUU